AACGAACGCUGGCGGCAUGCCUAACACAUGCAAGUCGAACGAGACCUUCGGGUCUAGUGGCGCACGGGUGCGUAACGCGUGGGAACCUGCCCUUAGGUUCGGAAUAACUCACUGAAAGAUGAGCUAAUACCGGAUGAUGUCUUCGGACCAAAGAUUUAUCGCCUUUGGAUGGGCCCGCGUUGGAUUCGCUAGUUGGUGAGGUAAAAGCCUACCAAGGCGACGAUGCAUAGCUGGUCUGAGAGGAUGAUCAGUCACACUGGGACUGAGACACGGCCCAGCAUCGUACGGGAGGCAGCAGUGGGGGAUAUUGGACAAUGGGGGAAAGCGUGAUACAGCAAUGCCGGGGGAGAGAUGAAGGCCGUAGGGUUGUAAAGCUCUUUUACACGAGGUGAUAAUGACAGUAACGGGAGAAUAAGCACCGGCUAACUCCGUG
RNAcentral lists this ribosomal RNA (433 nucleotides) under uncultured bacterium. RNAcentral describes it as "partial 16S ribosomal RNA". It matches the Rfam family "Bacterial small subunit ribosomal RNA", at positions 29 to 507 of the family's 1533-position model. The record is from RNAcentral.